RNAcentral lists this ribosomal RNA (253 nucleotides) under uncultured bacterium. Its description in RNAcentral is "partial 16S ribosomal RNA". It matches the Rfam family "Bacterial small subunit ribosomal RNA", at positions 524 to 776 of the family's 1533-position model. The record is from RNAcentral.
UACGGGGGGGGCGAGCGUUGUUCGGAAUUACUGGGCGUAAAGGGUUUGUAGGUGGCCACUUAAGUCAGACGUGAAAUCCCUCAGCUUAACCGGGGAACUGCGUCUGAUACUGCGUGGCUUGAGUGCAGGAGAGGAACGCGGAAUUCCAGGUGUAGCGGUGAAAUGCGUAGAUAUCUGGAGGAACACCGGUGGCGAAGGCGGCGUUCUGGACUGUAACUGACACUGAAAAACGAAAGCCAGGGGAGCAAACGGG